This 459-nucleotide ribosomal RNA is filed under the name Trichoderma virens. RNAcentral's name for it is "partial small subunit ribosomal RNA". Lineage: Eukaryota; Fungi; Ascomycota; Sordariomycetes; Hypocreales; Hypocreaceae. The record is from RNAcentral.
UUGAGGUGAAAUGCUUACACUUUCAUUUAUAGACCAAAUUCAUGUUUAAUAUUUAAUUUAUAAUUAUAAUAUUAAAUCUUAAUCUAACCUAUGGCAUUCAUCAUUUACUGCAAAGACUACUUGGGUAUCUAAUCCUGUUUGUGCUCUGUGCCUUCGUCCUUUAACGUCAGUUUCUACAUAGAGGGCUGCCUUCGCCUUUACCGAGUCCCUUUGGUAUCAUAGAAUUUCAUCUCUCCUCCUCAAGUACUGCCCUCUUACAUAAAACUCUAGUCAAGUACUAACAUUCUAGAAGCUAUAUUGACCGUCUAGGUACCCUUUAAACCUAAUUAAGAUGAAUAACACUAGUCUCUUACGUAUUACCGCGACUGCUGGCACGCAAUUAGUCAAGACACGAUAUAUAUACUGUCAUUAUCAAUAUAUAAACAAAGCUUUAUUCAAUUUUAAUACAAUCCUAUAGAU